GGGCCCGUAGUCUAGAUCGGUUAUGACGUCGCCUUGACGUGGCGAAGAUCCCCGGUUCAAAUCCGGGCGGGCCCA
This 75-nucleotide transfer RNA is filed under the name Candidatus Altarchaeales archaeon WOR_SM1_86-2. RNAcentral describes it as "Candidatus Altiarchaeales archaeon WOR_SM1_86-2 tRNA-Val". It matches the Rfam family "tRNA". Rfam says of the family: Transfer RNA (tRNA) molecules are approximately 80 nucleotides in length. Their secondary structure includes four short double-helical elements and three loops (D, anti-codon, and T loops). Lineage: Archaea; Nanobdellati; Candidatus Altarchaeota; Candidatus Altarchaeia; Candidatus Altarchaeales. The record is from RNAcentral.